Molecule: long non-coding RNA, 367 nt
Organism: Sycon ciliatum
Lineage: Eukaryota; Metazoa; Porifera; Calcarea; Leucosolenida; Sycettidae
Exons: 2
Source: RefSeq, a predicted model, not a curated record
GAUAUUUUUGCAAGCAAGCUGAAUGAGGGACUUGUCUUCUUCUUUCUUCGCCUAUUUUGACAUGGAAGACGUGUGUUGAAACGAGAUAAGUCAUUUCACCACCAACUCGGUGGUGUGUUCUGAUAGUGUUAUAAAGAUUCUAGCUACGGUGCUCACGGCAAAGAGCUUAUGACUCCCCCAAAGGUCUAUAUUUUAGAAGAAAGUAGACGGAAUUAUUUUCAGACAAGUGAACUUUCGCUUUCGGGAGCCCAGGAUUGAAUAUUGUGUAUGGACGGCCAGGGCGACGGAUGUUCUCGGAAAGCUUUGCCGUGGCUGUGCUGACUGUAGUUCUGGUGGCUUGCAUAUUAGCAUGUGCCAGAAAAAAGAC